RNAcentral lists this ribosomal RNA (219 nucleotides) under Mugilidae sp. Its description in RNAcentral is "partial small subunit ribosomal RNA". It matches the Rfam family "Bacterial small subunit ribosomal RNA", at positions 492 to 794 of the family's 1533-position model. The record is from RNAcentral. Lineage: Eukaryota; Metazoa; Chordata; Actinopteri; Mugiliformes; Mugilidae.
GUCGGUAAAACUCGUGCCAGCCACCGCGGUUAUACGAGAGGCCCAAGUUGAUAGCCUUCGGCGUAAAGAGUGGUUAAGUUAGCCUAAAACACUAAAGUCGAACGUCCCCAAGACCGUAAUACGUGUUCGGGGACAUGAAGCCCAACCACGAAGGUGACUUUAAAAACAUCUGACUCCACGAAAGCUGAGAAACAAACUGGGAUUAGAUACCCCACUAUG